UGGUGACUUUAAGUUGAAACCAAAGCUCAUUUACCAUUCUGAAAACCCUAGGGCCUUAAGAUUUAAGUUAAAUCUACUCUGAGUGCUGUCUAUAAAUGUAAACAAAGCCUGGAUGACAGUACGUGUUUACAGUAUGGUGUACUGAAUAUUUUAAACCCACUGUUGAGAGACUUCCUCCUGAGAAAAAAAGAUUCAAAUUAUGGCUGCUCACUGACAAGAGCUCUGAUGAAGACAUAGAAGGAAAUUAAUGUUGUUCUCGCAACUGCCAACACAACGUGUAUUCUGCAGCCCAUGGACCAAGGAGUAAUAAUUUUGCCUUUCCAGUCUUCUUAUUUAAGAAUGCAGUUUAGCUGGCCCAGGCGCAGUGGCCUGUAAUCCCAGCACUUUGGGAGGCUGAGACAGGUG
Molecule: long non-coding RNA, 405 nt
Filed under: Homo sapiens (human)
Lineage: Eukaryota; Metazoa; Chordata; Mammalia; Primates; Hominidae
Description: HSALNT0263012
Source: RNAcentral